GACGAACGCUGGCGGCGUGCUUAACACAUGCCAGUCGAACGGAAAGGCCCUGCUUUUGUGGGGUGCUCGAGUGGCGAACGGGUGAGUAACACGUGAGUAACCUGCCCUUGACUUUGGGAUAACUUCAGGAAACUGGGGCUAAUACCGGAUAGGAGCUCCUGCUGCAUGGUGGGGGUUGGAAAGUUUCGGCGGGUGGGGAUGGACUCGCGGCUUAUCAGUUUGUUGGUGGGGUAGUGGCUUACCAAGGCUUUGACGGGUAGCCGGCCUGAGAGGGUGACCGGCCACAUUGGGACUCAGGUGCGGGCCAGACUCCUACGGGAGGCAGCAGUGAGGAAUAUUGCACAAUGGGCGGCAGCCUGAUGCAGCAACGCCGCGUGCGAGAUGACGGCCUUCGGGUUGUAACCCGCUUUCGCUUGUGAGGAAGCGUGAGUGACGGUAAUGGGUAAAGAAGCACCGGCUAACUCCGUG
RNAcentral lists this ribosomal RNA (468 nucleotides) under uncultured bacterium. RNAcentral's name for it is "partial 16S ribosomal RNA". It matches the Rfam family "Bacterial small subunit ribosomal RNA", at positions 28 to 507 of the family's 1533-position model. The record is from RNAcentral.